AGCGCCUUCUGGGAUCGUCGAAAGGCGGGGGCGGGUGAUGACGUCACCAUCCCGGGAGCAGACUUCCGUGGGGCCUCAGUCUCCGGAUUUCCUCUAUGUUUGCUUCCAACUCUGAAGCUGGUUAUUCCUGCAAGGGGCUAUGGGAAGGUUAUUUAGUGCAGCCCCGAAGAACUGUGGGAAACUGCUUUCUCUAAGCGGAACAAUGAAAAAAGCACCUGCCCCGGACCAAUUAACCUGUUAAUGGGCCACUUUCCGGCUUUAUUCUUUAAGCACCACCUGAACCCAAUCUGGCGCCUUCUGGCUCUAACUUUGUGCUCCUCUAAUUGUUCUAUUGUUCCUCACGCUGAGCCGAAGAACGCUUUAGUGCUUAGCGCAGACUUAAUUUGCGGGGCUAGCCCGCCUCUUGGUGUCUAUUUAGGCAGAUCCUCUGCAGUUGUAAGAAUAAAGAACGCUUUAAUUAAGCUAGAAAACACGGAGUACCGAUAAUCCUUCCACACGUUAAGUUCUGUCCACUCGUCUUAGAGGAAAGGGAACCGAAGUGUAAACGGCGAAAUCUCUUGCCCAAGCUCAGUCGGCUGAGAGUAUUUUCUGAGUACCAGCUGUGUGCCAGGCAAGUGCUAAGGCAGCAAAGCCCGAAGUCGUGCCCUUGGGGAUCUCCGGAGCAAAGGAGUAGAAACGACACACACAAGGCAGGAUAAACUGCAAACGAUCAGUAGAGGGAAGGCGCUAGAUUUAAGGGAGCUCAGGGAAAGCUUCUUAUAGAAGGGAGGAUUUUCGCUGGAUUCGCAGAAAGCCAGGUCACCUAAGGAGUAGCUACAGAAGUCAAAUUUGAAUCCAGGACCUCCGACUCAUUGAUUUCGACAUAUGCAGAAAAGGCUUUGUUUGUUUUUAAGUUUUUUGAUAGGUUCUAUAUCCCCAUAGUACCUAAUAACCUUUCUCUUCCCAAAGAGGCAUGCCAUAUGACAAAUAGUAUUUUUAGAGUUUGGUCGGGAAAAGUCCACAUAAGUGAAAAGAUCUAAAAAAUUAUGUGCAGUGUGUAACAACUCGACCUCCCAGCUCCAUCAAAGGAUAGGUUGCAGGUGUAAGGUCCCACUUGAUCUUUAUAAAUUUUUAAAUUAAAAAAAAAUUUUAACCUAUCAUUUUAUUCUUUAACAUUGCAGUUACUGGCUACUCUUGAUUCUGCAUCCGUUCAUAUAGAUUGUUCCAUGUUUCUCGGUAUUCAUUGCAUAUAUAAUUUCUUACAUUCAUGCUGCAAUUCAUGUACCACAAUUGAUUUUAGCCACAUUCCAAUUUAUGAUCAUCCACUUUAUUUCCAAUUCUUAGCUAUCACAAAAACUGGUAUUAUAAAUAUUUUGGAGUAUGUGGGGGCUUUUUUUUUUAAUUUUUAUUUAAUAAUUACUUGGGGCUUUUUUCUUAUUGAUGGUUUCCUUGAGGCAUAUAAUCUUGGUAAUGUCAUUUCCAGUUCAAAGGGCAUGGAUAUUUUAGUCACUGUAUAUUUAUUAUAUUUAAUCAUGUAUAUUUAUUAUUGGUUUGAAUAUCUUGAAUGCCAAACUCUUAUUAGAGAAAUUUUGAUACAAAAAUUUUUUCCCAUUGGACCAUUUUUCCUUUUUAUCCUACAUGCAUUAAUUUUUUUUUCUGAAGCUUUUCAAUUUCAAGUAAAUCAGUUAUCUGUUUUCUCUUUUGUAAUUUCCUUUUUCUCUUGGUUAAGAAUACAUCUCUUACGUGUUCCAAAUCAUUAUUGAUCAGAGAAAUGCAAAUUAAGACAACUCUGAGAUACCACUACACACCUGUCAGAUUGGCUAAGAUGACAGGAAAAAAUAAUGAUGAAUGUUGGAGGGGAUGCGGGAAAACUGGGACACUAAUGCAUUGUUGGUGGAGUUGUGAACGAAUCCAACCAUUCUGGAGAGCAAUCUGGAAUUAUGCCCAAAAAAUUAUCAAAAUGUGCAUACCCUUUGAUCCAGCAGUGUUUCUAUUGGGCUUAUAUCCCAAAGAAAUACUAAAGAAGGGAAAGGGACCUGUAUGUGCCAAAAUGUUUGUAGCAGCCCUGUUUGUAGUGGCUAGAAACUGGAAAAUGAAUGGAUGCCCAUCAAUUGGAGAAUGGCUGGGUAAAUUGUGGUAUAUGAAUGUUAUGGAAUAUUAUUGUUCUGUAAGAAAUGACCAGCAGGAUGAAUACAGAGAGGCUUGGAGAGACCUACAUGAACUGAUGCUAAGUGAAAUGAGCAGAACCAGGAGAUCAUUAUACACUUCGACAACGAUAUUGUAUGAGGACAUAUUUUGAUGGAAGUGGAUUUCUUUGACAAAGAGACCUGAGUUUCAAUUGAUAAAUGACGGACAAAAGCAGCUACACCCAAAGAAAGAACACUGGGAAACGAAUGUGAAUUAUCUGCAUUUUUGUUUUUCUUCCCGGAUUAUUUAUACCUUCUGAAUCCAAUUCUCCCUACGCAACAAGAGAACUGUUCGGUUCUGCAAACAUAUAUUGUAUCUAGGAUAUACUGCAACAUAUCCAACAUAUAAAGGACUGCUUGCCAUCUAGGGGAGGGGGUGGAGGGAGGGAGGGGAAAAAAAAUCGGAACAGAAAUGAGUGUCAAUAUAAUGUAAUUAUUAAAUAAAAAAUUAAAAAAAAAAUGAAAAUCUGAAAAAAAAAAAAAAAAAAGAAUACAUCUCUUACCUAUAGAAGUCCUGUACUUAACACUGUAUUGCUUCUCAAAUAGUACUUUAAUUUCAGCAAAGCAUUUAACAAGGAUUCCCACACUGAGUCAUUAGUGAGUCAGGGCCAUCCUGGAGGAAAAUUUAUGAUAGUGUGACAAUAGAGAUCUGGUCUUAGCCCUAUACUGUUUAACAUUUUUAUCAAUUUGAAUAUAAAAUUUGCUUAGUACAAGAUGAUACAAACCUGUCAUUAAAUGACUUAAGUAUCCAAAGUGAUCUCAACAGUUUACAUCAAUGGACUGAGCAAAUAAAAACUGAAUUUAACCAGGACAAAUAGAAUUACAGUUUAAAUCAGGAAGGUACCUUAGAAAUAAUAUAACCCAAUUCCCUAUUUUACAGAUGAGGAAACUGAGGCAUAGGGAUCUGCCCAAGAGCACCCACAUAGUACCUGGCAGAACUGGAAUUCAAUCUCAGUUCUAUAUCUAAUAUAUAAUGCUCUCCUAAACUGCAUUAAGAGAGGUAUAGCUUUCAGAAUGAAGGAGAUAAAGGUCCACUUAUUUCUUAUCUAAUCAAACCUAAACUGUUGGAUCACAGUAUUCAGUUAUGGGCACAAUAUUUUAAGAAAAACAUAGACAAGCUGAAACUUUCAGAGAAAAAUAAUCAAGAUCAUGAAGGAACAGGAGAAUGGGCCAUAUAAAGUUUGGUGAAGGGAUUUUUUAACCUGGAGAAGGGAGGAUUCAAGUAUCUUAAGCACUUUAAUAUAAAUAAAGGAUUAGAUUUUUUUCUGUUUGGCCAAUUGAGUCUAUAAGUUUGCCAUUUAUGCCUUAAUUCAAAUUAUGCUCUAAUGUUAAAUUACCUUGAGUCAAAUACAAUCUCUGGACUAUUCUAUGAGAAAAUUCCUUUCACAUUGCCACCAAACGAUCAAUGAUCCUUUGGAUCCAGCCUCUAGAUAUAUCUUUAAAAGAUUUUAAAUGCCAGAAAUAGGAGUGUAUCCUAGAGGCACUAGAGAGUCACCAAAAGAUUUCUGAGCAAGGGAAUAUUGUGGUCAGACCUGUAUUUUAUGAAUAGCAAUUUGGCAGUAUUCUCCUAUGUGGAGGACAGAUUGGAGAGGGGAGGGAUUAAAGACAGGAAAAUCAUUUAUAAAGCUAUGGCAAAAUCUGAAUGAGAGGUGAUGAGGACCUGAAUUAGGGUGCUGUUCAUGUGAGUGGACAGGGAAGAAUGGCUGUAGAAGGCAGAAUGAGAUUUGGGAAUUGAUUGGAGAUGAGAUCUGAGAGUAAAGAUGGAUGACUCCAAGAUUAUCAACCUAAGUGGCAAUGGAAAUAAAAUAUGUGGAUAGGAGAAAUACUGCAGAGAUUGGAUGUGGAAGCCAAAGGAAAAGAAAGAGUUGAUGACUGAUUCAAUGUUUUAAGUCGAGGUGACUAGGCAGAUAGUGGUGCCAUUAAAAGAAAUUGGAAAGUUUGGAAGAUGGAUAGGUUUAGGGAGGAAAAUGUUGAUUUCCAUUUAGCACUUGUUGAAUUUAAGGUGUAGACAGAAUUUCCAGGUGGAAAUACCGUUUGGGAAAUUAGAUAUACCUGUGAGAGCUUGUGGCUAGAAAUGUAUAUUUAGGAGUCAUCUGCAUAGAAGUAGUAAUUGAACCCUUGGAAGUAAAUGAACUCUUUGUGAGAGUGUAUAAAAUAGGAAAAGAGUGCUUCAGUUGAAGUCUUGAUGAAAACACACAUUUAAUAGAUUAGGAGAACAAGGAACCAAUGAAGGAAAUAGAGUAGCUAAAGAGGAAAGAGGAGAUUCAGGAGGGAUUCAUAAUAAUUCUACUACCCUUCCCUUUUGUUGACUAUGGUAUGAAGCAUAUAUUUUAAAGAUCUGUUUCAGUGGAGGGGAAGUGGAGCAUUAAGAAUGUUAAAAACUGAUGAGAGAAAUAAUCGAAGUUCCUGUUUUGGAAAUUAUUGAAAGGUAAAAUGUGGAACAAUACAUAAUGCCUUACAUCUAUUGGAUACAACAAAUAAAUGUUUGUUGAAUAUGCUUUCCAUUUUAAAAAAUUCUCAUAAUUUUACCUUUAGCUACUAAAACUACAUUAGGGAAACCAAGAAACUCAUAAUUGCUUGAAGCUACAAACAAUGGAAAUGAGUCAUUUAUUUCAUUUUUGCAAAGCUGAAGUGCUUGAACUAAGAGAAAAAAGAUGUGGGAUGAUGGUGAGUCAUUUCAGUUACAGAAAUAAGAUAGCAGGAUGGUUUAUCUGUGGACCCCACAGAAAAGUAGUAGGAUAGGUUGGGAUCUUCCUAGAAAAAAAAGAUGACAUCAUAUGGCUUCUCACCCACACUGAAGAAAAGUAUAUGAUUUUAUUCUGGAUGGAGACCUUUAAAAAACAAUUCUUUUUAAAGAUAAAGUGUUCUCAUCACAAGGGGACCCAGAUGACCUGAAAAACAACUGCUUUAAAACCCUAAUUAUUCAUCUCCCUGCUUCCAUUUCCUCUCCUCCUCUCACUAUCCAUCUUCUAUACUAUUGCCAGAUUGAUAUUCCUAAAGCAAAGAGAUAACCUUAUCACUUUCCGGUUUAAAAAAAAUCUUAAGUGGUUCCUGAUUAUUAUUAUUAGCAACCUAAGAUAAAAUAAAAUAUAUCCAGCCUGGCAUCUUUAUAAGAUUUGGCCUGAUGGUCUUGAGAUCACCAUGACAGUUUCUGCUCAAAGGAGACUAUGGUUUAUAGAAUCUAUGAGUGUAAUGCCGAAAAAUUGAGCAAGAUAGAGAUUAGAGAGUAUUUAAUAAUUUAUUAAAUGGAGAGAUAUACUGUGACCAAUGGAUCCAUGUUUGGUCCCAGGGCUGAAUGAGACUAUCAUCUCCAAGAAUUCAGCAAACAGAGUUUUCAAUGACAUAUAUACACCUGGCUCAGACAAAGAGGGUAGACUGAGGCAGGGGUGGAGUCAGGGUACUGAGAGCAGAAUGGGAUUCUGGCAGAGUCGGGUGAGCCUCUGGAGAAGGGAUGACAAAUCAGGGGGAGGCAUCCCGGAAAUGGGGAGAGGCAUCUUGAUAGGACAGUAUCUGAUAUUUUAAUUGCUUGGGAUGGGAGAGGCAUUCUGAUGUUCUAUCAAGUAUUCUGAUAAAGAGGGAGGGGAGGUUUUGCAGAAUUGAGAAGCAGGAAAACUGAGGCAGGACUGAGUCAGGAUAAUUAGGAAAACUGAGUCAGGACAAUAAAAGAGAACUGUGCAUAACAUGAGUAAAAAAAAAAAUGCUGGCAAUAUUUUUUUUAAGAUUUGUGCACCAGAAAGAGAACCAUGGGAACAGAGUGUGGAACACAACAUCGCAUUCUCACUCUCUCUGUUGUUAUUUGCUUGCAUUUUGUGUUGUUUCUCAGUUUUUCUUUUCCUUCCUUCUUGAUCUGAUUUUUCUUGUGCAACAAGAUAACUAUAUAAAUAUGUACACAUAAAUUGGUUCUAACAUGUAUUUAACAUGUAUUGGACUAUCUGCUCAUUGAGGGAGGGGAUGGUGGAAGGAGGGGAAAAUUUGGAACAAAAGGUUAGGCAAGGGUCAAUGUUGGAAAAAUUAUCCAUGCAUAUGUUUUCUAAAUGAAAAGCUUUAAUAAAAAAAAUUUUUUUUAAGAUUUGUGCACUUGUGUAUCUACAAAUACCUUGCUGUUUUCCCUGUAUUUAUGUCCCCCAAGAAUCAAUCCUCUGUGAACCCUGACAUGGAAAGCAUCCAAUUCCCCAGGGCCACCAAAAUGAGGGUAUAGAUACCUCACUUUCUGAAGGACACCUGCAGAAUUUUCUGUAGAAUUGACCUGUGUCACUGUGCUUCCCAUCACUGAGUAGACUCUCCUCCCUUUCCCUUUCCUCCUCUUCCCUAUUGCUUGUCAAUAAAGUUUUGCAUGGAACCAAA
Long non-coding RNA from Antechinus flavipes (yellow-footed antechinus), 6509 nucleotides. RefSeq lists it as uncharacterized. The transcript has 2 exons. The record is from RefSeq and is a predicted model, not a curated record. NCBI's taxonomy places the organism in Eukaryota, Metazoa, Chordata, Mammalia, Dasyuromorphia, Dasyuridae.